RNAcentral lists this ribosomal RNA (106 nucleotides) under uncultured bacterium. RNAcentral describes it as "partial 16S ribosomal RNA". It matches the Rfam family "Bacterial small subunit ribosomal RNA", at positions 1379 to 1482 of the family's 1533-position model. The record is from RNAcentral.
CCUUGUACACACCGCCCGUCACGCCAUGGAAGCUCGGAGCGCCCGAAGUCGGUGUCGAAACCCUCACGGGAUCAAGCCGCCGAAGGCGAGCCGGGUGACCGGGGCG